UGGGGAAUUGUUCGCAAUGGGCGCAAGCCUGACGACGCAACGCCGCGUGUGGGAUGAAGGUCUUCGGGUCGUAAACUCCUUUCGAUCGAGACGAAUGGCCUCCGGGUGAACAAUCCGGAGGAGUGACGGUACCGAGAGAAGAAGCCCCGGCUAACUCCGUGCCAGCAGCCGCGGUAAGACGGAGGGCGCAAGCGUUGUUCGGAAUUACUGGGCGUAAAGCGCGGGCAGGCGGUCUGUUAAGUCGUUUGUGAAAAUCCGGGGCUCAACCCCGGAAAUGCAUACGAUACUGGCAGGCUGGAGACUGGUAGAGGCUAGCGGAAUUCCUGGUGUAGCGGUGGAAUGCGUAGAUAUCCGGAGGAACACCAGUGGCGAAGGCGGCCUGCUGGGCCCAAACUGACGCUGAGGCACGAAAGCGUGGGUAGCAAACAGGAUUAGAUACCCAUGUAGUCCCUGAGCGGGCUGGCAAGGCGCAU
This 473-nucleotide ribosomal RNA is filed under the name uncultured bacterium. Its description in RNAcentral is "bacterial SSU rRNA". It matches the Rfam family "Bacterial small subunit ribosomal RNA", at positions 355 to 825 of the family's 1533-position model. The record is from RNAcentral.